CAGCAACGAAUGGACAGCGCACGCGGACGUCGGCGUGGCGCAUCCAACGGGAACGGCGGUCACGGGACGCUCGCUGCGCGCAGCCCACCACGGAGGACCUUCCUGUAAACGGCCCAUUGUUCUCCUUGUCGCUGUGACCAGGGAACCUGGCAGGAAGCCACUGAAGACCAGGAGCGUGAACCGGGGCUCUCAGCCUGAGGACCACAGUCCACCAUAGCGGGCAGUCAUGUCAAGAGUGCCAGGCAGCUGGCCACGCGGCGCCCACGCCCGGGGAAGCAGAGACAAGCGCUGGUGCCAGCUUCCUUUCUGCUCCCUGGGAGCCUGCUAUAUUUUGUGCCUCUGAAAAGCCUUAAAUAAUAAGUCUGUUCUCUAACUUCUGGAAUCUUCCAAAGGUAAUUUUUUUUAAAGAUGAAGGACGUUAAUCAUGGGGUCCUUGCAACCGUUACAGUUGCUCAGGAGACGUGCAUGGGUGUCUGUGCCCUCUUUUGUUUCUCUCCCACACUGACCACUUGUGUUUCCUCUUAGAAGAGGAAAGAAAAUAUCAUCAGUUGAAAAGAGAAACUGAAAUAAAAUGUACCAACCACUCAAAAGCCAGUAACUUCAAAAAUGAUGAUCCCAUUCCAGAAGAAUCUGUUCUCAUUAUGAGGCUAUUUCAACGCAGAUUUAGUCAUAAAGGAGACACCAAAAGCAAAAUAGCCCUUUAGGUUGCAAUCUAUUCCAACUUCAGAAAAAAACCUCUAAGAUGUUAAUUGUUCCAAAGAGGUCGAAGGGAAGCUUGAGAUGCUCAGAGCUGCACCCAUGCCGAGGCAUGAAUUUUGAGUUUUGAGUUUAAAUUUGCAAAUCAAUUGCAUAAAGCAAGGUCAGAGGACCAUCCUGAUGAGGCAAAGGACGUGAAUGCUGUGCUUCUGGUCUGCAUUCCAAACCAAGAACCGGAAGAAAGACAACGCACUAGGAAUUAAAUUGCCAUUGUUCCUAGCUCUGAAAGGGUGAUUCCACGCGGUCAGCUUCUGAACCUUUCUUCCUAAUUGAGAAGUGAAUCCUGGCUCUGUGUCAUCCCAGGGACCAAACAGCAAAUGGCCAGUGCUUUGGCAGCACUCUGACCAUGAGGGAGGAUCCCAAUGUGAUGUCUUUUUCGUAGCUGUUACAAGAACAUCACUACUGUCAAAUGUGGAGGCUCCUGUGUGCAAUCCAGGCUCUCGGGAGGUUGAAGCGGGAGGAUUUAGUGCAAGUUCUAGGCAAGCCUGGACUCCAUAGUAAAUUCUAGGCCAUCCUGGGCUAUGAAGAGUAAGACUCUGUUGCAAAAUUAGAAAAUCAACUAAGAGGGCCACCAUUAUCUACAAACUUCCCAGCCCCUUUCAGUCCUCACAUUCUAGACUUUGUUUCUUUCGAUCCACAUUUCUCAACUGACAGUUAUUUAUCUAACUUGUUGGACAGGGCAAAGAUAAUUCGUUCAGCACAGCUCCACCAAACACUAGACUUUUGUCAUCAAAGGCUUCAUGUGAACUCAUCUCUCUGGUCUUCCCGGUUGCGGGGGUGGUUGAUGGAGCAAGCCAGAGUCACGAAAUGGGCUUCAGACUGACCAAAGAUGGUGACUGUUCUUCCCCCUUGGUUGCCCACCAUCCCUAUGGUCCGUGGUGGAACCGAGAGUCACCUCCUGUCUCUAGAGUGCUAGCCUCUUCUCUCCGCCAGCAGCGCUCACCACACGGCUUCAUGGCUCCGCUAGAUCAGUGGACUGGAGAUGCUACAGCUCCCAUCUCUAGCCCUGUUCCUCAAGCCGCAAGCACACAACCAAUGUGAAGUGAGUGUUCUUUAGAUUCUGACCCAGAAAUAUGCUGAGCUUUAUGGUGAGAGCUUCAGAUAGUUUUAUGUUUAAAAAAAAAUGAGUGGCGGGUUCUUCCCAGAUAUUCAUGCAUAUGAAACUCAUGAAUAAUUUUCUUCUCUCAGUGACUGAAGAUGAAUCCUUUUAAUUUGAAGUGGCCUGUACACUAAUGAUUCCUGUCAUUACUCCAGGAUCCUUUAAGUUGGAUUUUCUUCUUCUCUCUUGGACUCAGUGAGGUAGAAAUUAAGGACGGCUCUCAUUAGCUUUUAUAUUUCCUGGAGCAUCUGCUCGUGGUCACAGAUUGAUCCAUCCUGAAUAUUUAUUUGUCUAUAAAUGCCACUGAGUCAGUACUUCACUUUACAACUCUUUCUUUUGAUCCCCAAAAGCAGCGUCUCCUUUGAAAGUCCCGUCAAUACCAUCAUUUGCAAUUUAAAAUGCUUUGAGAUAUCAUCCUCCCCGCUGUGUUUUUGAAUACUUCCUUCAUAUUUAAUUGGUGCAGUCACUUUAGUUCCUAAUUAAACUUUAUUGUUUAUGAGGUUGUUCUCAUUAAUAGACAUAAUGGGAGAAGAAAGAAGGAAGGAAGGGAAGAAAGAAAAGAAGGAAAAGAGCUGGUUUCAGCGAAUUCCCUGACCUCCAACUCCACUCUUAAUACUUCUCACGGCCGUGAAUUCACAGAACAGGAGAUUGGGCAGGAAGUAAGACACAAUGCGACUGCACAGCCCAUGCUCUUGAGAAUUUACUAGGUGUUCUGGAAGACAAGUGGUUAGCUUAGAAAUGGCAUCUGAAGUCCGUGCAAGAUGAAUGUCCUCAUCCCAGGCUCUUUCCCCUCCGCACAAACCCAGUUUUGCAUUUGGUGAUGAAUAUCGCACACACAAUGCUUGCCCGACACUCUGAGUCUUAAAAUACUUUUAUUGUGAGGAAGUGGGCACUUGAAGGAUCUAAUGGUGUCUGGUCCCAGACAGAGUUUUCUGUAUUGCAUCAAGGUUGAAAUGCCCAUGAGGCUGAGAAUCUUAUUGCCCAUUUCUGAGAUUAAACAGUUUUGGAAAAAUG
This is a long non-coding RNA of Mesocricetus auratus (golden hamster), 2869 nucleotides long. RefSeq lists it as uncharacterized. Lineage: Eukaryota; Metazoa; Chordata; Mammalia; Rodentia; Cricetidae. The transcript is spliced from 2 exons. The record is from RefSeq and is a predicted model, not a curated record.